AGUAGAGAGUGGUGGAGAGAAAGAGAGAAGGUCAGAGAGGUCAGUAAAGUCCAGACCAUGCACAGCUUCAGGUCAGGUGAAGAAUGGGAAGCUAUUGGCAGAUUUUAAGCAGGGGAAUGUCAUGAUCUAAUGUUUUCAAAAGACCACUCUAGCAGGAGUGUGGUGGAGUGAGAGUGGGUGUGGGAAGAGCAGUUAUAUGACCAUUUAAGCGAUCUUAGCAGACAUGAUGGCAGCUCUGCAAUGAAGACCAGGAGAUGAACACGGGAUACAUUUUGGAGUUGUAGCUGAUCGGGCAUACUGAUGGAUUAGAGGGGGGUAGCAGUAAGCAAGUGGUUGAUGCUGUUAGCUGGGACUCAACUGGGGCUAUCUGCCAGAACUCACACAUGUGGUCUCCUCAUGUGGCAUGGACUCCCUCACAUCAUGGCAACCUAAGACUUCUUAUAUAGCAGCUCCAGGCUCCAAAGGGGUCUUUGAAGAGUUCACCCAGGAGCUUCAAAAUGAGGAACAGUGCUUGCAAUUUCCUUGAAUACUAAGAACAUCCAGCUAUUUGUAGACAGAUAAAAGAGAGCAGCCCCCAGAGGUGCUGAUCCAGCCAAGAUAGCUCAUCCAGUUCUCAACAGGACUAAAGGACUUAUCCUAUGCCUAGUUUUUCACUCCCCUCAGAGGGUCAGGUGAACUGGGGAGCAAGAGGAACUGGCGCCUUUCCCUACUUCUCUUUCAAUUCGUUUAUUGAGGUAACUGCACUGGGGAAAAGAUUAUAUCCAAAACUUUUGGAUUGCUCGACAUUAGAUGUUAACUCUGAGCUAAUACUAAUUUCCAGGGACCCAGAAUGAACUUAUCAAUGGAUAUCAGGACUGAACAGAAGUAGCUGUGCAACCACCACUAGAAGCCUUCUGAGCGUGUUACUGAAGAGGAUGAGGCAGGAGGCUUCCAGAGGCAACAGCCAAGACUAAGCCAUCAACCACAGGGCCAAACCCAGUAAAAAAGAAAAAUAAGAACACUUCCACUUAAAGAACUGCUGCAAUUAUACUGUUCCUUUUUUUUUUCCAUUAACAUGUCUUUCCUUUUAUGAUGGCGAGAGUUAAUAUUAAGGUGUGCAUAUAUGUUUGUUAAACGAUCUCAUUUUGCAAUUAAAAGUUUGCACUUAUAUUAA
RNAcentral lists this long non-coding RNA (1153 nucleotides) under Homo sapiens (human). Its description in RNAcentral is "HSALNT0322796". The record is from RNAcentral. Lineage: Eukaryota; Metazoa; Chordata; Mammalia; Primates; Hominidae.